AUACGGAGGGUGCAAGCGUUACUCGGAAACACUGGGCGUAAAGCGCGCGCAGGCGGCUAUUUAAGUUGGAUGUGAAAGCCUACGGCUCAACCGUAGAACUGCAUCCAAAACUAUUUAGCUAGAGUGUGGGAGAGGAAGAUGGAAUUAGUUGUGUAGGGGUAAAAUCCGUAGAGAUAACUAGGAAUACCAAAAGCGAAGGCAAUCUUCUGGAACACUACUGACGCUGAGGCGCGAAAGCGUGGGGAGCAAACGGGAUUAGAUACCCUAGUAGUCC
RNAcentral lists this ribosomal RNA (274 nucleotides) under uncultured bacterium. Its description in RNAcentral is "partial 16S ribosomal RNA". It matches the Rfam family "Bacterial small subunit ribosomal RNA", at positions 523 to 796 of the family's 1533-position model. The record is from RNAcentral.